UUGAACGCUGGCGGCAUGCCUUACACAUGCAAGUCGAACGGUAGAGUAGCAAUACUCGAGAGUGGCGAACGGGUGAGUAAUACAUCGGAACGUGCCCGAUCGUGGGGGAUAACGCAGCGAAAGCUGUGCUAAUACCGCAUACGGUCUACGGAUGAAAGCGGGGGAUCGCAAGACCUCGCGCGGACGGAGCGGCCGAUGGCAGAUUAGGUAGUUGGUGGGAUAAAAGCUUACCAAGCCGACGAUCUGUAGCUGGUCUGAGAGGACGACCAGCCACACUGGGACUGAGACACGGUCCAGACUCCUACGGGAGGCAGCAGUGGGGAAUUUUGGACAAUGGGGGCAACCCUGAUCCAGCCAUUCCGCGUGAGUGAAGAAGGCCUUCGGGUUGUAAAGCUCUUUCAGCCGGAACGAAACGGUACGCUCUAACAUAGCGUGCUAAUGACGGUACCGGCAGAAGAAGCACCGGCUAACUACGU
This 476-nucleotide ribosomal RNA is filed under the name uncultured bacterium. RNAcentral describes it as "bacterial SSU rRNA". It matches the Rfam family "Bacterial small subunit ribosomal RNA", at positions 30 to 506 of the family's 1533-position model. The record is from RNAcentral.